This 2430-nucleotide unclassified non-coding RNA is filed under the name Dimorphilus gyrociliatus. Its description in RNAcentral is "dUF1741 domain-containing protein". The record is from RNAcentral. Lineage: Eukaryota; Metazoa; Annelida; Polychaeta; Dinophilidae.
AUCUAUUGGAAUAUGAUUGCAAACAACAUCCGGUUAAUGAGUAAUAGCAGAAAUACGGUAUUUUCACAUAUAUAUAUCCCAGAUUUAGCAGGUUUAAUAAAUCAUAUUUGCCUAAUUUGUCUAUUAAAAUUGCAAAAUAAUUCAUAUUCAUAAAAAAUGCCGCAUAACUUUGCAUUUUUAAUAAUUUUUUAAUUUUCAGAUUAUGGUCGUUGAACACCGAUAAUGUCUGUAAAAGGUCAUUCUCAAAUUUUAAAGAAGUCUUCGAAUAAAGCUCAAUUUAAGGAGAAAAUCAGUCAAAUCUAUGAAUCGCUCUUUAAGGGACAAGAUUUAUCAUUGAUAAAUGAGAAUUUUUGGGACGAAUUAUUCCUUCUAAAGGUUAAUCCCCAAACGUUUGCCACAGAAUUCGAAAAACAAAGUAUCGAUCAAUUAUGUUUGAUUAAGGAAAUUAUUAGUAAACUGUUUUAUGAAUGCAUUAAAAGAUUGGACUAUACAAACCCGAUACCUUUGGCCAACUCAUUACAGACAAUCAAUUGUCUUAUUAGAGGCGUGGUAUCAAAGAACGAUGACUCUUCCAAUGUAUUGAAAUUGCUGAUAGGUCAAGAGGAAGCUGACGAUGUAAUGAAAGACUUAAUUACUGGAUUAAUUAAGAUAUUAGAGGAAUCUAAAUUAGAUAUUUUACAUACUCUUUCUUUAAAGUUAUUAUUAACUAUUGUUACGGUGGUUGAAUCGCAUCUAAGUCAGAAUAUUUUACUAGAAUACUUAAUGAAAAACUCCCUGUUCGAAACAAUCGUACAACUCUUUGGAAGAUCAGAAUGGAGAAAUGUUCAUGGGCACGAUGCUUUACUUCUAUUUACUCUAUUAGUACAAUACAGAAAACACGAAUCAGCUAAUCCAUAUGUAGUUAAAUUGUCUAUACUUGAUAAUGAACUAGCUUUAAAUGGAUUUGCUCAGACAAUUUCAAUGACUUUGACAGAAUUUAAUAAGGCUUUCAAGAAAAAAUGUUUAGAAAAUGAAUCGAGUGGAUUUCUUGCUACAUUAAGCAGUAUGGUCGGUAAUAUGUUUGUUGGAGAUGAGAAAAAAGUUUCCAUUGGGUCAACAAAUGACGCCAUGCUUCUUGCUUUAUAUGAAGCGGUACACUUGAAUCGAAAUUUUGUCAUCACUUUAACGCAAUGUCAUACGAGUCCUGUACAAACUCCUCCGGAAUCGCCUGCAACAACAAUUGCCAGAAGCCAAUCGAUGCCUGUCAAUGAGAAAGAGCCGGAUUCUAAAAUAAAUUGUUCAAAUGAAGUUUUACCAACAAAUCUACUAGCUACGUUUUUAGAAUAUUCAUCAAUAGUUAUGCAAGGAAUAAAAGAGGAAAGUCGUUUUCACAGCUGUAAACUGUGUUUGUUGAUAUUGACUUGCAUUUCCGAGGAUCAAUUUGCAAAUUCCCUUAUGCAUGACGUUAACAUAAAUUUUCGAGUUCCCUUACAUAAAAUGCCAAUGAGACAUAGAAAAGUCUUCUUGAACAGACCAUCUCCUUCGAGAACGCUUGCAUCAGCUCUUUUAGAUUUAUUAGUUGAAUUCGUACACAGUCACAUGAUGAAAAAUUUCCCAAUGGAAUUAUACAUGAGAGGUAUAGGCGUAAUUCAAAGGGUGCUGUGUUAUCAAAAACGGUGCCGACAACGCUUGAAGUACAAUUGGAACGAUCUCUGGUCCGCCUUGAUUGCUCUAUUGAAGUUCAUCGUUACCUACGAAAAUUAUUUGAUGAAACAGAAACACGAUAUCUUUUCCCUUUGUUACCGGGUUAUCAAUAUUUUUAACAUGUUUAUCACCUAUGGAGAUACAUUCUUACCAAGUACUCAGACUUAUGACGAACUUUAUUAUGAAAUUGUUAGAACUCAUCAAGUAUUUAACAACCUUUAUACGAUGGGCUUACGGUAUUCAAAUUCAAAUAAUGAGUUCGUGAAUGCAGCAAAAAAGAUGAAUGGUUCCCUUGUUAAUAUCAGAUCGAUUGUUAAUCAUUUUACGCCAAAACUGGAAAAGUGGCAACAUCAAAAUAAAAUUUCAUCUCUAACUGAAGAACAAGUUUUAGAAGUUGUUAGAAACAAUUAUGAAUCUUUAACUUUAAAGUUACACGAUUGUCUUGAUCAGUACGAAAGAUAUUCGGAAAAGCCGGAAGAAGCUGCCUUCUUUUCAAAUAUGGUUAGGCAUAUAAUGAAUGACGUUAAAAAGCAAGCUUGUCCUCUUAAGAUGGACUGCUACGAUCAGUUUAAUAUAGAGUCACCUUCGACCAAUAAUUAAACUCUCAUCUUUUUUUUGUAAUCAGUAAAUAAGAAAUUGUUUUUGUGUCUUUUGUCUGUGAAAGCAAUACAAGCUUCUUUUAAAUAUAAAACUUGAAACUAAACUGUUCAAUUUGAAGACGUUUCUAAAUAAUUGAGUUGGCUAGCU